GAAGGCGGCCAAAGCGGUGGGGAGACACCCGUACCCAUUCCGAACACGGAAGUUAAGCCCACCAGCGUAUCGUGAAGUACUGGAGUGAGCGAUCCUCUGGAAACCACGAGUCGCCGCCUCCCC
RNAcentral lists this ribosomal RNA (123 nucleotides) under Halorubrum sp. AJ67. Lineage: Archaea; Methanobacteriati; Methanobacteriota; Halobacteria; Halobacteriales; Haloferacaceae. The record is from RNAcentral.